This 132-nucleotide unclassified non-coding RNA is filed under the name soil metagenome. RNAcentral describes it as "partial internal transcribed spacer 1". The record is from RNAcentral.
UUGAUAAUAUAGUUUAUACUAUCAUUAAUUAUGUGCACUGUUACCGCCAAUUGGCGCCCGUAAGGUCGUCAAUUGGCCCCAAUUAAAAUAUUUAUUUAUAACUUUUAUACCAGUAAUCAUAUAAACUUACGA